This 496-nucleotide ribosomal RNA is filed under the name uncultured bacterium. RNAcentral's name for it is "partial 16S ribosomal RNA". It matches the Rfam family "Bacterial small subunit ribosomal RNA", at positions 28 to 506 of the family's 1533-position model. The record is from RNAcentral.
GAUGAACGCUGGCGGCGUGCCUAAUACAUGCAAGCCGAGCGAACGGACGAGAAGCUUGCUUCUCUGAUGUUAGCGGCGGACGGGUGAGUAACACGUGGAUAACCUACCUAUAAGACUGGGAUAACUUCGGGAAACCGUAGCUAAUACCGGAUAAUAUUUUGAACCGCAUGGUUCAAAAGUGAAAGACGGUCUUGCUGUCACUUAUAGAUGGAUCCGCGCUGCAUUAGCUAGUUGGUAAGGUAACGGCUUACCAAGGCAACGAUGCAUAGCCGACCUGAGAGGGUGAUCGGCCACACUGGAACUGAGACACGGUCCAGACUCCUACGGGAGGCAGCAGUAGGGAAUCUUCCGCAAUGGGCGAAAGCCUGACGGAGCAACGCCGCGUGAGUGAUGAAGGUCUUCGGAUCGUAAAACUCUGUUAUUAGGGAAGAACAUAUGUGUAAGUAACUGUGCACAUCUGGACGGUACCUAAGCAGAAAGCCACGGCUAACUACGU